UACGUAGGGUGCGAGCGUUAAUCGGAAUUACUGGGCGUAAAGCGUGCGCAGGCGGUUUUGUAAGCCAGAUGUGAAAUCCCCGGGCUUAACCUGGGAAUGGCAUUUGGGACUGCAAGGCUCGAGUGCGGCAGAGGAGACUGGAAUUCCUGGUGUAGCAGUGAAAUGCGUAGAUAUCAGGAGGAACACCGGUGGCGAAGGCGGGUCUCUGGGCCGUAACUGACGCUGAGGAGCGAAAGCGUGGGGAGCGAACAGG
RNAcentral lists this ribosomal RNA (253 nucleotides) under uncultured bacterium. RNAcentral's name for it is "partial 16S ribosomal RNA". It matches the Rfam family "Bacterial small subunit ribosomal RNA", at positions 524 to 776 of the family's 1533-position model. The record is from RNAcentral.